RNAcentral lists this ribosomal RNA (405 nucleotides) under uncultured bacterium. Its description in RNAcentral is "bacterial SSU rRNA". It matches the Rfam family "Bacterial small subunit ribosomal RNA", at positions 370 to 772 of the family's 1533-position model. The record is from RNAcentral.
AAUGGGCGUAAGCCUGAACCAGCCAUCCCGCGUGAAGGAAGAAGGCGCUAUGCGUCGUAAACUUCUUUUCCAGAAGAAGAAAACCCCCGACGUGUCGGGGCUUGCCGGUACUCUGGGAAUAAGCAUCGGCUAACUCCGUGCCAGCAGCCGCGGUAAUACGGAGGAUGCGAGCGUUAUCCGGAUUUAUUGGGUUUAAAGGGUGCGUAGGCGGAUUAAUAAGUCAGUGGUGAAAACCUGCAGCUUAACUGUAGAAUUGCCAUUGAUACUGUUAGUCUUGAGUACGGUCAAGGUAGGCGGAAUGUGUAAUGUAGCGGUGAAAUGCUUAGAUAUUACACAGAACACCGAUUGCGAAGGCAGCUUACUGGGCCAUUACUGACGCUGAUGCACGAAAGCGUGGGGAGCGAA